RNAcentral lists this transfer RNA (72 nucleotides) under Perca flavescens (yellow perch). It matches the Rfam family "tRNA". Rfam says of the family: Transfer RNA (tRNA) molecules are approximately 80 nucleotides in length. Their secondary structure includes four short double-helical elements and three loops (D, anti-codon, and T loops). Lineage: Eukaryota; Metazoa; Chordata; Actinopteri; Perciformes; Percidae. The record is from Rfam by way of RNAcentral.
UCCUCGUUAGUAUAGUGGACAGUUUCUCCGCCUGUCACGCGGAAGACCGGGGUUCGAUUCCCCGACGGGGAG